Eutrema salsugineum is the source of this 1805-nucleotide RNA transcript. It is a transcript of the gene named serine/threonine-protein phosphatase 7 inactive homolog, with no coding region annotated. The transcript is spliced from 4 exons. The record is from RefSeq and is a predicted model, not a curated record. Lineage: Eukaryota; Viridiplantae; Streptophyta; Magnoliopsida; Brassicales; Brassicaceae.
CGAAACUCCCCAAGACUGUUUAAAUCGACGGCCAUGCACUUCUCCUCACCACUUGUUUCAAUGAUUUCAACGACGAUUUUCAGUAGAGACUUCCACCUGCCUAUGAAACUUUCUAUGGAGCAGCUGAAGAUCCUCGCGCUCUACAACCAAACCUUCCCAUUUACGCAGGGUUUCUCAUCUUCAAUUGAUGCCACUGCGUGGGAUAGUCGGAGGAUUUUUUCCGAGAUGACACUCGCCAGAACCGUUGAUGUUGGUGGCCAAUGAGAAUUCAUUAUAUAUUUUUGUUGACGAGGAGGAUGUGCCGCUCAUGGCUUCUGAGGAAAGCCCCACUCCUAAGGACGAAUGUCCUAUCAAGAAUCUCGGCUGCCUUUGUGCUUGUACUCGCAUCCUGAAGGUAAAUUGCUUACCGAUGGGUCUUAGCAAAUUUUGGUAAAUGUUUACUGCGUUUGAGCAAUAGCUUCGUCCUGCAAAAACUGAUGGCAGCCUUUGAUAUUAGAAUUCUUCUACAGUCCGACUCCAGAUUCACUCUCCAUAUAAGUCUGCGCUUAGAAAUAUCUCUCUCUGUAUAUUUGCUUAAUCACCAUUGCCGCCAGAGUUACCUCCUUUUCUUCAGGAUCCGGAAAAUAGAGUGACCCGAGUUCUGUGUUCGGUACUAAAGCAAGUGGUUAGUAACUCAGACCGUUCUCUAAAGUCUCUUCGUGGGUUUCACUAUGAGACAUUGGAUGAUCAAGAGAAGCAACAGGUGACGAGGAUGAUUGCAAGUGUACAAGCCGGAAACUGUUGAUCAUUUAGAUGAGAUGGCUGAGCCAACGGAAAUGGAGAUUUAUCUGGGAAACGGCGAUGAUUCUGUUGGCGCUCAUUUUAGUUACAUUGUUUUGGAGCCAAUCUCAUGGCCUUUAGAGUCCCAACUAACUCUUGAAUGGGUUAAGACUUUGCUGGGUUUAUUGAACCAGUUCACGUGGAAGAACUCCGUAGUUCCCUUUAAUAUUACCACAUUCUGUAGCUCUUUCCCUGGUGGAUUGUGCUUCCCAGAAUGUAGACAAAGAAGCUAAUUGCGUUAAAAUCAAUUGCUGUGGUGAGGAUUCUAGAGUGAUUCUGGUUGGGGAUCUCCAUGGUCAACUACACGAUCUCCUCAAAAUCUUUGAUCCAUCAGGAAGGCCUUCACAAAACCAAUGCUUUGUGUUCAACGAGUCUGAUGCCUCAGAGUGCAUGUUUACUUCGACGAAGCUCUGAAACAAGGGUAUCCGCAGAAGAGCCUGAUUUCUUGAAAGAAACAUGUCACAGAUAUGCUUAGCACGGUCCAGUGCUAUACUCCAAGUGUAUCGAUUGUUUCAAACUAUUACCUUUGGCAUGUGAUAUCAGAUAGCGUCUUCACAACUCAUGGAGGUCUCAUUCAAAGCUCUCGGGUACAUGAAGAUAGCUCCAAUCCAUCUUUGUUGUUGGGUUCUUUAGAGGAACUUGACAAGAUUGAGAGGACACAAGUUGGUGAGAACGAUGAUGAGAAUAUCACUCUUAACCAUGUUUUAUGGUCAUCUCCAUGGAUGGCUGAUGAUCUGAGCGAAGUGUGAAAAAUAGGGUGAAGUCCGAAGUGUGGCGGUAUGGUACGUCGAAGGUAAUUUAAAAACAAUGCGCCAAAAAGACGAGGAAGGAAAAUCAGAAGAGUUCCAUGAUAAUCAAGAAGUGAAAAUGGUUUACUGGGCAAAUAUCUUUUCAUCAAGCGUAGUUAAUAUGUGUAAAUAGUUACGAAUAUUAAAUAUCCGUAAAUGCAACAACAGGCAUCUCUGCAUCUUUAAAAAUUAUGGAGU